This 508-nucleotide ribosomal RNA is filed under the name uncultured bacterium. RNAcentral's name for it is "partial 16S ribosomal RNA". It matches the Rfam family "Bacterial small subunit ribosomal RNA", at positions 28 to 507 of the family's 1533-position model. The record is from RNAcentral.
GACGAACGCUGGCGGCGUGCCUAAUACAUGCAAGUCGAACGCUUCUUCCCUCCCCAGUGCUUGCACCCAAGGGGAAAGAGGAGUGGCGGACGGGGGAGUAACACGUGGGUAACCUACCCAUCAGCGGGGGAUAACACUUGGAAACAGGUGCUAAUACCGCAUAACAGGUUAUGCCGCAUGGCAUGAGAGUGAAAGGCGCUUUCGGGUGUCGCUGAUGGUUGGACCCGCGGUGGAUUAGCUAGGUGGUGGGGUAAAGGCUCACCAAGGCGACGAUGCGUAGCCGGUCUGAGAGGGCGAUCGGCCACACUGGGACUGAGACACGGCCCAGACUCCUACGGGAGGCAGCAGUAGGGAAUCUUCGGCAAUGGACGCAAGUCUGACCGAGCAACGCCGCGUGAGUGAAGAAGGUGUUCGGAUCGUAAAACUCUUUUGUUAGGGAAGAACAAGGACGUUAUUAACUGAACGUGCCCUGACGGUAGCUAAACAGAAAGCCACGGCUAACUACGUG